Molecule: RNase P RNA, 586 nt
Filed under: Spirochaetaceae bacterium
Lineage: Bacteria; Pseudomonadati; Spirochaetota; Spirochaetia; Spirochaetales; Spirochaetaceae
Description: RNase P RNA component class A
Rfam family: Bacterial RNase P class A
About the family: Ribonuclease P (RNase P) is a ubiquitous endoribonuclease, found in archaea, bacteria and eukarya as well as chloroplasts and mitochondria. Its best characterised activity is the generation of mature 5'-ends of tRNAs by cleaving the 5'-leader elements of precursor-tRNAs. Cellular RNase Ps are ribonucleoproteins.
Source: RNAcentral
GCGAUGAAUCAUGCAGCCGCCCGGUUUAAGACCGGGAGGAAAGUCCGGACUCCGCAGGGCGCGAUGCCGGGUAACGCCCGGACAGGGGAUAUAUAAGUCCGGCGGUCCGCCGCAUCCGCGGGUUUUUCGGAACGCCCUGGCGUUUUGGAACCCCGGCGGGUGCGGGUAAACCGGCCGGGUAAACGAUCUCUCUGAUAGAAAGUGCAACAGAAAAAAAACCCCCUUUUUCUGAAAAGACAAAAGGGAAGGGUGAAAUGGCGGGGUAAGAGCCCACCCCGGCGGCGGUGACGCCGCCGGUAUUUUCCGGUAUUUUCCGGAAAAUGGCAAACCUCAUCGGGAGCAAGGUCAAGCAGCGUGUAAAAGGCCUGCCUUUUACGGUGGAGGGCUUGUCCCAGGACAAACCUUCCGCACCGGCGGCCCGCCGGUUAAACGCGGGUAGACCGCACGGAGGCAGCCGGCAACGGCUGUCCAAGACAGAUGGCUGCUAUGGCGCAGCGUGCCGGCCCCUAUGGCGGAGGUUUCCUCCGUAAUAGCUGCGGUACGGCCUGUGCCAAAAACAGAAUCCGGCUUAUGAUUCAUCGCUUUU